Molecule: ribosomal RNA, 331 nt
Filed under: Nitrospirota bacterium
Lineage: Bacteria; Pseudomonadati; Nitrospirota
Description: Nitrospirae bacterium (hot springs metagenome) partial 23S ribosomal RNA
Rfam family: Bacterial large subunit ribosomal RNA
Source: RNAcentral
ACGAGAGUUGGGUUCAGAACGUCGUGAGACAGUUCGGUCCCUAUCUGUUGUGGGCGGAGGAGAGUUGAGAGGGGCUUUCACUAGUACGAGAGGACUGUGAAGGACGGACCUCUGGUUUGCCGGUUGUCGCGCCAGCGGCAGUGCCGGGUAGCUAUGUCCGGUAGCGAUAAUCGCUGAAAGCAUCUAAGCGAGAAGCGUGCCUCAAGAUAAGCUCUCCCGGGGCGCAAGCCCCCUAAAGACCACUUGUAGACUACGAGUUUGAUAGGCUGGGUGUGAAAGGCCCGUGAGGGUUUUAGCUGACCAGUACUAAUCGGUCGUGCGGUUUAACAUC